This is a non-coding RNA of Desulfovibrio sp. DV, 68 nucleotides long. Lineage: Bacteria; Pseudomonadati; Thermodesulfobacteriota; Desulfovibrionia; Desulfovibrionales; Desulfovibrionaceae. The record is from Rfam.
AGGCGAAACCGUUCCCCUCGGAGCGGUCGGCCGGGUGUGGUGGCCCGGCCCUGAUGAGCCAGCCGCUC